This 225-nucleotide unclassified non-coding RNA is filed under the name uncultured fungus. RNAcentral's name for it is "sequence contains ITS1, 5.8S rRNA gene". The stretch from base 177 to 225 matches the Rfam family "5.8S ribosomal RNA", at positions 1 to 49 of the family's 154-position model. The record is from RNAcentral. Lineage: Eukaryota; Fungi.
UCUCCGUAGGUGAACCUGCGGAGGGAUCAUUACUGAGUGAGGGCUCACGCCCGACCUCCAACCCUUUGUGAACCCAACUAGUUGCUUCGGGGGGCGACCCUGCCGUUCGGCGCGGCGCCCCCGGGGUCAAUCAAACACUGCAUUCUCUGCGUCGGAGUAUUAGUAAAUCUAAUCAAAACUUUCAACAACGGAUCUCUUGGUUCUGGCAUCGAUGAAGAACGCAGC